GGCGAGGUCCGGGCCAGGAGGCGCGGGAAUACGGAGGGGGCUAGCGUUGUGCGGAAUUACUGAGCGUAAAGCGCACGUAGGCGGCUUUGCAAGUUAGAGGUGAAAGACCGGGGCUCAACUCCGGAAUUGCCUUUAAAACUGCAUCGCUAGAAUUGUGGAGAGGUAAGUGGAAUUCCGAGUGUAGAGGUGAAAUUCGUAGAUAUUCGGAAGAACACCAGUGGCGAAGGCGACUUACUGGACACAUAUUGACGCUGAGGUGCGAAAGCGUGGGGAGCAAACAGGAUUAGAUACCCGAGUAUC
RNAcentral lists this ribosomal RNA (300 nucleotides) under uncultured bacterium. RNAcentral's name for it is "bacterial SSU rRNA". It matches the Rfam family "Bacterial small subunit ribosomal RNA", at positions 495 to 794 of the family's 1533-position model. The record is from RNAcentral.